GUCCCUGUAGCUCAGUGGAUAGAGCGUUGGAUUGCGGAUCCAAAGGUCACAGGUUCAAAUCCUGUCAGGGACG
RNAcentral lists this transfer RNA (73 nucleotides) under Candidatus Spechtbacteria bacterium SB0662_bin_43. Its description in RNAcentral is "tRNA-Arg". It matches the Rfam family "tRNA". Rfam says of the family: Transfer RNA (tRNA) molecules are approximately 80 nucleotides in length. Their secondary structure includes four short double-helical elements and three loops (D, anti-codon, and T loops). The record is from RNAcentral. Lineage: Bacteria; Candidatus Spechtiibacteriota.